Molecule: long non-coding RNA, 220 nt
Filed under: Mytilus galloprovincialis (Mediterranean mussel)
Lineage: Eukaryota; Metazoa; Mollusca; Bivalvia; Mytilida; Mytilidae
Source: RNAcentral
AAACUUGCAUUAUUGAGUAACAGGAAAUUAUCUAUAUAUCGUAACGUGAAGUUAAAAUAUAUUGGUUGCUCCUGUAUGAAAUGUGAUUCAUAUGAAUAAGGAAAAAAGAUGAGAAUGAAUUUCCUAUUGAUUCUAUGAUUCUUUGAUGCUUGUUGGGUUUGACUUUGCUUUUGGUACUUUUAUAUUAACUUAUCGCCGUUAGUAUUUGGUUUUGAAUUAU